This is a long non-coding RNA of Oxyura jamaicensis (ruddy duck), 4280 nucleotides long. RefSeq lists it as uncharacterized. The transcript has 2 exons. The record is from RefSeq and is a predicted model, not a curated record. Lineage: Eukaryota; Metazoa; Chordata; Aves; Anseriformes; Anatidae.
GUUUCUAAGAUCUCUUGGUAAUAUUUUCAGUCACAUGUUAUAGUGUACUUUUCUUCAUUGACAGAGUCAUCAGGUUAGUAGCCUACACUAAUCACUUUCCCUUGAGUUUAUAUAUUCAACCAGCAAGCUCUAGUUUACAACCAAGAUGUCGAGAUAUUCCCAUCAUUUGGUUGCUAAACACAGCUGUUAGAUGACUGCAAAUCCAUCUCCAAUGGUCAUGUCUUGUUCUCUGCCAACACUUGUCUCCUCUGGUUCAGGAAAAUGAUGCCACCUUGAAAGGAAAUUUUGUCUCAUUCCCUGUUAUGAUUUCAUCUUGUCAGAAUAAACUCUAAUUUCAUACCUUUAAAUGUAAUAUACAAACUUGAUGAUAGCCUAGAAAGUGCUGCUGGGAGAACAUAAUUGUUACAGUCAUAAUGCUGGCAUAAGAUGCUUUGGUGCUAUUAGAGGUAAUUAAAGGAAAGUACAGUAGUAAAUAGUUUUCAGUCACUUGCAGUCCAUUGAGUUUUGUCCCUUAAAUAUGCCAUAUCUAGUGGCCUUUACCUUUGCUGGGGAUUCUGGGUACAGAAAUAUGAGAAUGGAAGUAAAAGAGCAUAUCAAUCUUACAUAAUAGGAGCCUCUUCGGUUCUGAGGGGCAAGGGAAGAGGACAGAGGGGCCUGUUACAACUUUUAAUAACAUCUCAAAAAUCUAAGAUACAGAUGGAAUUUCAUGGGACCUCUCAAAACAUCUUCAGUCUUAAUUGCUACGAGAAUAAUUAUGAGAUGCCUAUCUGAAUGGUGAAAUUCCAUAAAAGCUAACUUCUGAUUCUUAGCUUCAUAGCUAAAAUUUGAUUAAAGGAUGUCAACAAUGGUAAAAUGUCGUAGCAUUUUCCCUGUCUUUUAUUUUCCUGCCUCUCCCUUGUACAUGUAAUUCCAUGGCCUCAUUUGCUUGUUCUGAGGGACUGCAGAGAGUCUUUAAUGGAAGCAAUUAAAAUAAAUGAUGAAGAGCAAGGAAUAACUUAAGCACGAUAGUCUCGAAGAUGCCAGCUAAGGUUGAGUAUGAGAGCUUCAUGCCAGUACUGGACACCAUCCCGCGAGGGGUUGGAGAUCAAAUUCUAGACUCAGACUUCCUGUGAUGUUGAAGAAAAUGCUUUUAAUAUUUCAUGUUUUUGCAGAACAAGAGUCAAAUACUUUCUUCUGGCAGCAUUUCUUGCAGGUCAUCUUCUGUGCCAUCUGAAAUCAAGGGGAAGAGAGAAAGGGCAGAGACUUUCUGCCCUUAGCUGGGUGUUAGCUGGACACUUUCAGCGAACCCUUCAAAUAAGCACUGCCACCUGCGUGCAUUACAGAGCCUUCAUUUUGAGAAAUGAAUGAUCCCCUCCCUCAGGUGGAGAUGGAAGGAGUUAUAAAGGGUAAUUCCAAAGAUACUGGUAGGAAAGAGACCUAGCAUACCAUCAGCCAUGGCAGAAAAGGGUUGAAGGAGUGGAGCAAUAAAUUCUGCAAGCGUAGAGCUUCAUACUCCUGAUACAUUUCUACAGUAUUUAUAAAAAAUAAAAAGUAAUAAUUUAAAAAAAAAAAAAAAAAAAAAAAAGAUAUUAGCCAAAGCUUGGAUAAAGUGUGGGUAUUAGCCACAUUCAUCUCAUGUGUUUAAUGUUUGAGAAAGGCUGUCACACAAUCUCACUUUCUGUCUUCUACUUUGUAUCCUCAAAUAGGAGACCAGUCUUCAACACUAAGCUCAUCGUGAAGGGAAAAAGCAGGCACCUCCCACCUCCCAGGUUAGUGCCAGUACUCUGGCUGUAGGCUUCUCUGGCAGUCAAGCGCUCUCACUUCAGAGCUGUUGAGCAAUACUCCUCAAGGAAAACUCCUCUCCCCUUUGCCGUCAGAGUCCUGCACUCCUCUCUGAGUUGCAGCACAACUUCAAAAGAAAGGGUAGGGAAAGCGUACCUUCUCUAGGACACUACAGCAAGACAAAAGAGGUGAAUUUGAAUCACAUGAGACUACAAAAGUGUGUUGAACACAGCUCUACAACUUCCUGAGCAAAUGCUCUAACCACAUGGCUCCUAAAUAAAUGGUCAAUAUUUCCUUCUUCUGAGCUCUUCAAGUAAAGCCUAAGACAGUCCCUUAUACUCAAAGCACUGAAGACCAAGCAAAGUUUUUGCAGCUGUGACUCACACUUUCCUCACAUACUGAACUCAGAACUGCAGUCAAGUGCCAAAAACGGAGAGACAGAGAGUAUUUCAUACUCAUGUGGUCUUCAAAUGGCCAAAGCCUCUUUCCAAGCAGCACUCUGGGUGUUACAAAGCCUGCUUGUGAGCCCUGGGAACUCCAUGUCUUCGUCAUGCUACUUACUCUAGAAAGAACAUCUAACUUGUGUUUAUGAAUUGCAUUCCCAAAGGCAAGCCUGUUAAAUGUGUCUCAAUCUGGACAAAAGUAUUGUGUUUCAAAAGGAAGCUGUCAAGUAAUGUUUAAAAGUGGUCAACACCAGAACAUCGUACUACAAAGUCCUUGUAAGCCAGGGGCACUGGUACAAACUCGCAGUGUAAAGAGCUGAAUCAGUCUCAGCUGAAUGUGACGCAAGAUGGGCCAGCUGUUGAUGACCCCCUUAUCUGUCCCACGUGCCUGUUAGAACAGGCAGGCUAAUUCUCUAUCACUAGGCAAGAUCUAAGGCUACAACCAGGGUGACAUAGGUGCAGCUGGUUAAUAUAUGUAUAUAUAUAGGAAAAGAAAUAGUUGACAAUUUUUUUCCAUGUCUUUCCGUCAAUAUGCAGCAAAUUUGCCUAUUCAGAACAUUUAUUAUAGAAAAGUGCCUUGUCCCUUAAUUACGCAAACCUCUCUCUCGCUGCCUCUCAUGUAUCAGUUCUACCUUUCUAUAAAUGCCUGAUUUGUGCACGAUAGCUGGGAAAUGAUUCCUAAUCCUGCAGCUGAACCCAGGGCAGAGGCAUUUUAAUCUGCAGACCAGUGUUUUGUUGGCAUAACCACUGGAUAGGACCCAACCUUACUCAGCAUAGCAAAACAACUGCCUGAAGACUUGUUUUUUUCCCCAUUUAGCUGAUGUCAUCCAGGAAGUAAUGCAGCUCAUUUAGGAGAAAAAAAAAUAAAAAAGGAGGGGGGGAGAAGCGUCAGCCAGCUCAGCUCGGCGUUCCCUCUAGGUGGAUGUGCUGACAGAGCAAUGUCGUAAGAGGCUCCUCCAACUGCAAGUCCUGGUGCAAGUGGGCAGGCUUUCCACUGCCAUCCUCAGGAGAUUAUUGCAAACACUAGGCUUCAUUUGUUCAUGCUUCACUCGGAUUACUUGACACUAUUUAAUGUGGUGACCUAUCAAUGGUGCUUAACUUUACAGCUGCAUUUUCUGUCAGAUAGAGACAGUCAAAACUGAGCAUUCUCCAUUGCCCUCAUCUUGUGAACAGCUCUGUGCGCCAGUAGCUUUCCAUGCAUGACCGGUCCCACUGAAUGGCUCCCACAUGACUCUGCUUGUAACUGUAACAUCAGGUGUUCACAACAGGAAAGCUCUGCAUACAAAAUCUCAGCUUCUGUUCUGAGGAGGAGGUUAUUGUUGUCCUUGGAAAGGUCAUCUCAUCGCAGAGGCUGGAGAAGUUAACAGGUUCUGCCUUUGCAUUGAAAAUACUUGUUGCUUCCCACACACUCAGGAAAACAUCAGGAUGUCCCAAAGACAGCGACGAGGGUGGUGAUGAACCUCCCAGCAUGCAUUUACACUUAACCCCUGGCACUUACCUCAGGCACCAAAAAUGAAGUAGGCUGGUGAGUUCAGAGGGCUUCAGUUUAGGCAGCUGAGACACAGGAGCAGAGCCUGGGUGAUGGGGUUUUCAACUCUGGUAUUGCUGCGGCAACAUGGCAACCUAAGGAAUUACUUCAGAGGACUGAAGAAAGGCACUUAUUCCAGCCAGCAACAAAUUUAGCUGCUAAAUAUUAUCAUAUAAGUAGUGAUGAGUUUUGCGGGCAAUCUGUGAAAAAUAUUGAACGCCCACGUACGCAGCGAUUGAAACAGAAUAUGCUCGCUGGAGCUGAGUGGUAUUUCACCAUUUGGGAAGCUUUUUCAUUAGUCAACUGCCUUUCAGUAGCUAAACUCCGUGUUUGCCACCUGAAAUGUCCCUUUAAAACAACACAACAACAACAAAAAAGGCACAGAUUCUUAUCUCCUUUUCCAAGCAGGCUGAAUUCUUCAGUCCGAAGCAGUUUGAUCUUGGCACAGCUCUCGAGGCGGCGUUACACAUUUCUGGGAAAGGCAUGUCAAAAUCGCAGCGCUCGUCGUUCGGUUUAAGCAAUAGCUUCGUAUCUAAGCGCAACCCAGG